UACAGAGGUCCCAAGCGUUGUUCGGAUUCACUGGGCGUAAAGGGUGCGUAGGUGGUCGGGUAAGUCUGAUGUGAAAUCUUCGAGCUCAACUCGAAAAUGGCAUUGGAUACUAUUCGGCUGGAGGGUUGGAAGGGGGACUGGAAUUCCAGGUGUAGCGGUGAAAUGCGUAGAUAUCUGGAGGAACACCGGUGGCGAAGGCGGCGUUCUGGACUGCAACUGACACUGAUGAACGAAAGCCAGGGGAGCAAACGGG
RNAcentral lists this ribosomal RNA (253 nucleotides) under uncultured bacterium. Its description in RNAcentral is "partial 16S ribosomal RNA". It matches the Rfam family "Bacterial small subunit ribosomal RNA", at positions 524 to 776 of the family's 1533-position model. The record is from RNAcentral.